CAAGUCGAGCGAACAGAUAAGGAGCUUGCUCCUUUGACGUUAGCGGCGGACGGGUGAGUAACACGUGGGUAACCUACCUAUAAGACUGGAAUAACUCCGGGAAACCGGGGCUAAUGCCGGAUAACAUGUUGAACCGCAUGGUUCUACAGUGAAAGACGGUCUUGCUGUCACUUAUAGAUGGACCCGCGCCGUAUUAGCUAGUUGGUGGGGUAACGGCCUACCAAGGCGACGAUACGUAGCCGACCUGAGAGGGUGAUCGGCCACACUGGAACUGAGACACGGUCCAGACUCCUACGGGAGGCAGCAGUAGGGAAUCUUCCGCAAUGGGCGAAAGCCUGACGGAGCAACGCCGCGUGAGUGAUGAAGGUCUUCGGAUCGUAAAGCUCUGUUGUUAGGGAAGAACAAAUGUGUAAGUAACUGUGCACAUCUUGACGGUACCUAACCAGAAAGCCACGGCUAACUACGUGCCAGCAGCCGCGGUAAUACGUAGGUGGCAAGCGUUAUCCGGAAUUAUUGGGCGUAAAGCGCGCGUAGGCGGUUUUUUAAGUCUGAUGUGAAAGCCCACGGCUCAACCGUGGAGGGUCAUUGGAAACUGGAAAACUUGAGUGCAGAAGAGGAAAGUGGAAUUCCAUGUGUAGCGGUGAAAUGCGCAGAGAUAUGGAGGAACACCAGUGGCGAAGGCGGCUUUCUGGUCUGCAACUGACGCUGAUGUGCGAAAGCGUGGGGAUCAAACAGGAUUAGAUACCCUGGUAGUCCACGCCGUAAACGAUGAGUGCUAAGUGUUAGGGGGUUUCCGCCCCUUAGUGCUGCAGCUAACGCAUUAAGCACUCCGCCUGGGGAGUACGGUCGCAAGACUGAAACUCAAAGGAAUUGACGGGGACCCGCACAAGCGGUGGAGCAUGUGGUUUAAUUCGAAGCAACGCGAAGAACCUUACCAAAUCUUGACAUCCUUUGACCGCUCUAGAGAUAGAGUUUUCCUCUUCGGAGGACAAAGUGACAGGUGGUGCAUGGUUGUCGUCAGCUCGUGUCGUGAGAUGUUGGGUUAAGUCC
RNAcentral lists this ribosomal RNA (1050 nucleotides) under Staphylococcus pseudintermedius. RNAcentral's name for it is "bacterial SSU rRNA". It matches the Rfam family "Bacterial small subunit ribosomal RNA", at positions 58 to 1087 of the family's 1533-position model. Lineage: Bacteria; Bacillati; Bacillota; Bacilli; Caryophanales; Staphylococcaceae. The record is from RNAcentral.